Molecule: transfer RNA, 183 nt
Filed under: Thermococcus gorgonarius
Lineage: Archaea; Methanobacteriati; Methanobacteriota; Thermococci; Thermococcales; Thermococcaceae
Description: 16S-23S ribosomal RNA intergenic spacer
Rfam family: tRNA (bases 45-119)
Source: RNAcentral
AAUCCCGUCCGGGGGGUUUAAGGGAUGUCGGGCCUGCCAUAGGUGGGCCGGUAGCUCAGCCUGGUAUGAGCGCCGCCCUUGCAAGGCGGAGGCCCCGGGUUCAAAUCCCGGCCGGUCCACCACGAAGAGGUGCACAUCCCGAGCCCAGCUCGGGGUGGAAGGGCCUGAGACCCCGAACAGGGG